CAUGCUUCUCUAAGACUCCACCCACCCCACCCCAUCCUGAGAUAAAUACGGUAGGUAUGGAUAAUGGCCUAUCCGAACCAUGGCCAUCCUUAUCAAGAGUUAAAGCCAUUGUGUCUUUAGAGAGCCAAAUAUAUAUAGACCUCCAACCUCGAAUUAUAUCUUUCUUUCACCAACCUUUUGCAUGCCUUAUCACUUAUCACUUG
RNAcentral lists this long non-coding RNA (203 nucleotides) under Elaeis guineensis (African oil palm). RNAcentral's name for it is "long non-coding RNA (EGUI_LNC022721)". Lineage: Eukaryota; Viridiplantae; Streptophyta; Magnoliopsida; Arecales; Arecaceae. The record is from RNAcentral.